RNAcentral lists this transfer RNA (70 nucleotides) under Loxodonta africana (African savanna elephant). It matches the Rfam family "tRNA". Rfam says of the family: Transfer RNA (tRNA) molecules are approximately 80 nucleotides in length. Their secondary structure includes four short double-helical elements and three loops (D, anti-codon, and T loops). Lineage: Eukaryota; Metazoa; Chordata; Mammalia; Proboscidea; Elephantidae. The record is from Rfam by way of RNAcentral.
GUGGUGGUGUUCAGUGGUAGAAUUCCCACCUUCCACACGGGCGACCCAGGUUCGAUUUCUGGCCAGUGCA